This 46-nucleotide non-coding RNA is filed under the name Trichobilharzia regenti. The record is from RNAcentral. Lineage: Eukaryota; Metazoa; Platyhelminthes; Trematoda; Strigeidida; Schistosomatidae.
GUACUGAUGAAGAGUCCUAAACGAGGACGAAACUGCUGUCUAGUAC